This 483-nucleotide ribosomal RNA is filed under the name uncultured bacterium. RNAcentral's name for it is "bacterial SSU rRNA". It matches the Rfam family "Bacterial small subunit ribosomal RNA", at positions 29 to 507 of the family's 1533-position model. The record is from RNAcentral.
AUUGAACGCUGGCGGCAUGUCUUACACAUGCAAGUCGAACGGUAACGCGGGGCAACCUGGCGACGAGUGGCGAACGGGUGAGUAAAGUAUCGGAACGUGCCCAAUAGUGGGGGAGUAGCCCGGCGAAAGCCGGAUUAAUACCGCAUGAGACCUGAGGGUGAAAGCGGGGGACCGCAAGGCCUCGCGCGAUAGGAGCGGCCGAUAUCGGAUUAGCUAGUUGGUGAGGUAAAGGCUCACCAAGGCGACGAUCCGUAGCGGGUCUGAGAGGACGACCCGCCACACUGGAACUGAGACACGGUCCAGACUCCUACGGGAGGCAGCAGUGGGGAAUUUUGGACAAUGGGGGCAACCCUGAUCCAGCCAUUCCGCGUGAGUGAAGAAGGCCUUCGGGUUGUAAAGCUCUUUCAGCAGGAACGAAACGGUGAGGGUUAAUACCCUUUACUAAUGACGGUACCUGAAGAAGAAGCACCGGCUAACUACGUG